UAGAUUUUGCGCUCAGCUACAUUUGCUAGCUUGAGUUGGUCCUCUGUUGAAAAGUUUCUUGCUUUGAACGAUAAUUGAAUGAUAGCGGGGAAAAACAUUUGACCUGAGUUACGGUUGGUUUGUAAGUUGUCCUAUUUAAACAAAAAAGUUUCCCUUCACACUUUUUCCCCAGUCCAGAGUUACUGAAGUAAAACCACGACGAGAACUUGUGAGAAACCUCCGUUGCCGCCCUACAGUUUGCCUGGCGGACACGUUGGCAGGAAGCAUCACUGGCAUGUCAUCAACUGGCAGCGAAGAAGUCAAUUAGCACACACUAGCUGUCGUGACCCCCUCCGAGGCUGCGCUAGUUAAUUAGCGGUUCAGCUGACGGCGCCCCCCAAAGGCGGCAUGCAAUGCUAGCUGUAGCUGGCGGUCUGACGACGGCUGGCCGGUGCCAUCUAUGAAUUUAAAACAAGCCCCGCCCACUGUGACACACAGAUGGUUUUGUCCUGGCCCUCCCGCAAAGAGCAGAAUCAGAAGAGGAGCUAAUUAGACGCCGCAUUCAACUGGAAGGAAAGGAAGAGAAACAUUGUGCAGUCACUAGGACGCUUCCACGCCAUCUGCCACUGGAAGUCCACCUUGAGAGAAUGGGGCUAAUAUUAGCAGAAUGCACUCCUAGCCUG
Dunckerocampus dactyliophorus (ringed pipefish) is the source of this 662-nucleotide long non-coding RNA. RefSeq lists it as uncharacterized. The record is from RefSeq and is a predicted model, not a curated record. Lineage: Eukaryota; Metazoa; Chordata; Actinopteri; Syngnathiformes; Syngnathidae. The transcript has 3 exons.